Molecule: ribosomal RNA, 484 nt
Filed under: uncultured bacterium
Lineage: Bacteria
Description: partial 16S ribosomal RNA
Rfam family: Bacterial small subunit ribosomal RNA
Source: RNAcentral
GACGAACGCUGGCGGCGUGCUUAACACAUGCAAGUCGAACGAUGAAGCUAGAGCUUGCUCUGGUGGAUUAGUGGCGAACGGGUGAGUAACACGUGAGUAACCUGCCCCGAACUCUGGGAUAACUGCUGGAAACGGUAGCUAAUACCGGAUAUGACCAAUGAAGGCAUCUUCUGUUGGUGGAAAGAAUUUCGGUUCGGGAUGGACUCGCGGCCUAUCAGCUUGUUGGUGAGGUAACGGCUCACCAAGGCGACGACGGGUAGCCGGCCUGAGAGGGUGAUCGGCCACACUGGGACGGAGACACGGCCCAGACUCCUACGGGGGGCAGCAGUGGGGAAUAUUGCACAAUGGGCGCAAGCCUGAUGCAGCAACGCCGCGUGAGGGACGACGGCCUUCGGGUUGUAAACCUCUUUUAGUAGGGAAGAAGCGAAAGUGACGGUACCUGCAGAAAAAGCACCGGCUAACUACGUGCCAGCAGCCGCCGUAA